Molecule: ribosomal RNA, 353 nt
Filed under: Bacillus pseudomycoides
Lineage: Bacteria; Bacillati; Bacillota; Bacilli; Caryophanales; Bacillaceae
Description: bacterial SSU rRNA
Rfam family: Bacterial small subunit ribosomal RNA
Source: RNAcentral
GAAUGAAAUGGCGUGACAAAUACAUGCAAGUCGUAACGAGGUGAGCCAGUAACUUGCUCUUAAGAAGUUAGCGGCGGACGGGUGAGUAACACGUGGGUAACCUGCCUGUAAGACUGGGAUAACUCCGGGAAACCGGGGCUAAUACCGGAUAACAUUUUGCACCGCAUGGUGCGAAAUUGAAAGGCGGCUUCGGCUGUCACUUAUAGAUGGACCUGCGGCGCAUUAGCUAGUUGGUGAGGUAACGGCUCACCAAGGCGACGAUGCGUAGCCGACCUGAGAGGGUGAUCGGCCACACUGGGACUGAGACACGGCCCAGACUCCUACGGGAGGCAGCAGUAGGGAAUCUUCCGCAA